UCCCCGAUGGUCUAGUGGUUAAGACUCAGUAUUUUCACUGUUGUGGCCCAGGUUCUAUCCCCGGCCUGGGAA
This 72-nucleotide transfer RNA is filed under the name Sus scrofa (pig). It matches the Rfam family "tRNA". Rfam says of the family: Transfer RNA (tRNA) molecules are approximately 80 nucleotides in length. Their secondary structure includes four short double-helical elements and three loops (D, anti-codon, and T loops). Further hydrogen bonds mediate the characteristic L-shaped molecular structure. tRNAs have two regions of fundamental functional importance: the anti-codon, which is responsible for specific mRNA codon recognition, and the 3' end, to which the tRNAs corresponding amino acid is attached (by aminoacyl-tRNA synthetases). tRNAs cope with the degeneracy of the genetic code in two manners: having more than one tRNA (with a specific anti-codon) for a particular amino acid; and 'wobble' base-pairing, i.e. permitting non-standard base-pairing at the 3rd anti-codon position. The record is from Rfam by way of RNAcentral. Lineage: Eukaryota; Metazoa; Chordata; Mammalia; Artiodactyla; Suidae.